This 478-nucleotide ribosomal RNA is filed under the name uncultured bacterium. RNAcentral describes it as "partial 16S ribosomal RNA". It matches the Rfam family "Bacterial small subunit ribosomal RNA", at positions 28 to 523 of the family's 1533-position model. The record is from RNAcentral.
GAUGAACGCUGACAGAAUGCUUAACACAUGCAAGUCGAUUCAAGUUACCUUCGGGUAACGAGGAUGGCGGACGGGUGAGUAACGCGUAAGGAACUUGCCUCUUGGUCUGGGACAACUGUUGGAAACGACAGCUAAUACCGGAUAUUAUGAGAUUCUCGCAUGGGAAACUUAUGAAAGCUAUAUGCGCCAAGAGAGAGCCUUGCGUUCCAUUAGCUAGUUGGUGGGGUAACGGCCCACCAAGGCGACGAUGGAUAGCCGGCCUGAGAGGGUGAACGGCCACAAGGGGACUGAGACACGGCCCUUACUCCUACGGGAGGCAGCAGUGGGGAAUAUUGGACAAUGGGCCACAAGCCUGAUCCAGCAAUUCUGUGUGCACGAUGAAGGUCUUCGGAUUGUAAAGUGCUUUCAGUUGGGAAGAAGUAAGUGACGGUACCAACAGAAGAAGCGACGGCUAAAUACGUGCCAGCAGCCGCCGCCG